Molecule: long non-coding RNA, 327 nt
Organism: Rhipicephalus sanguineus (brown dog tick)
Lineage: Eukaryota; Metazoa; Arthropoda; Arachnida; Ixodida; Ixodidae
Exons: 4
Source: RefSeq, a predicted model, not a curated record
CGGCGAUGCGUCGUCGCGGCACCAACCAACGGACGCGAGCUUUGAACAAGAUCGCAAGCGCGGGCCGUUUGACGAGACAGUCGCCGCAGCGGAUACAACACCUCGGUAAGAGUGCCUGGGCGGGCGGCCAGUUACCACAGAAGGGAUGCUGCGCAAGAGCAAGGGCCUGCUAAAAAACAUAGACAGCUGCUCAAGAGACAAGUGGUGGACAGCUUGCUGUGAAAGAUGGAAGCAUUCUUCCUGCAAGUCUGGACAAGGCCAUAUUAAAUGGCUUCAUCUGUCACAAAUCGCUGGCCACGAAUGUAAAGAACACCUUGGCCCCACUUC